UGGCACCUACGGGACGCAGCAGUCGGGAAUAUUGCGCAAUGGAGGAAACUCUGACGCAGUGACGCCGCGUGCAGGAAGAAGGUUUUCGGAUUGUAAACUGCUUUAGACAGGGAAGAUAAUGACAGUACCUGUAGAAUAAGCUCCGGCUAACUACGUGCCAGCAGCCGCGGUAAUACGUAGGGAGCAAGCGUUAUCCGGAAUUACUGGGUGUAAAGGGAGCGUAGACGGCGAGGUAAGCCUGAAGUGGAAGCCCGCGGCCCAACCGCGGAACUGCUUUGGUAACUGUUUUGCUGGAGUAUG
This 300-nucleotide ribosomal RNA is filed under the name uncultured bacterium. RNAcentral describes it as "bacterial SSU rRNA". It matches the Rfam family "Bacterial small subunit ribosomal RNA", at positions 333 to 650 of the family's 1533-position model. The record is from RNAcentral.